Molecule: ribosomal RNA, 492 nt
Filed under: uncultured bacterium
Lineage: Bacteria
Description: partial 16S ribosomal RNA
Rfam family: Bacterial small subunit ribosomal RNA
Source: RNAcentral
AGUGAACGCUGGCGGUAGGCCUAACACAUGCAAGUCGAACGGCAGCACAGUAAGAGCUUGCUCUUACGGGUGGCGAGUGGCGGACGGGUGAGGAAUACAUCGGAAUCUACUUUUUCGUGGGGGAUAACGUAGGGAAACUUACGCUAAUACCGCAUACGACCUACGGGUGAAAGCAGGGGAUCUUCGGACCUUGCGCGAUUGAAUGAGCCGAUGUCGGAUUAGCUAGUUGGCGGGGUAAAGGCCCACCAAGGCGACGAUCCGUAGCUGGUCUGAGAGGAUGAUCAGCCACACUGGAACUGAGACACGGACCAGACUCCUACGGGAGGCAGCAGUGGGGAAUAUUGGACAAUGGGCGCAAGCCUGAUCCAGCCAUACCGCGUGGGUGAAGAAGGCCUUCGGGUUGUAAAGCCCUUUUGUUGGGAAAGCAAAGCAGCAGGUUAAUACCCCGCUGUUCUGACGGUACCCAAAGAAUAAGCACCGGCUAACUUCGUG